RNAcentral lists this long non-coding RNA (205 nucleotides) under Elaeis guineensis (African oil palm). RNAcentral describes it as "long non-coding RNA (EGUI_LNC076311)". Lineage: Eukaryota; Viridiplantae; Streptophyta; Magnoliopsida; Arecales; Arecaceae. The record is from RNAcentral.
GGAGAUUCCUGUCAAUUCUCAAAUGAGAGCUCUAGUUCCCACUCAGUCUGACUUCUCUAGUUCCACACAAAUCCUCUUCUUGUGCUCUUCUACUCUUUUCCACCUACUGUUGUCGGGCUCAAAGCUGACUGAAGCAUCGGAGGGUCAAGAAUCAGAAGAUCCCCAUCCGCUUUUUGACUUAUCUUGUAGGUCUUCUUGAAGCUAU